CAGUCGCCGCGGGAAUACGAAGGGGGCUAGCGUUGCUCGGAAUGACUGGGCGUAAAGGGCGCGUAGGCGGCAUGUACAGUCAGACGUGAAAUUCCUGGGCUUAACCUGGGGGCUGCGUUUGAUACGUGCAGGCUAGAGUGGGGAAGAGGGUUGUGGAAUUCCCAGUGUAGAGGUGAAAUUCGUAGAUAUUCGGAAGAACACCGGUGGCGAAGGCGGCAACCUGGUCCAUGACUGACGCUGAGGCGCGGAAGCGUGGGGAGCAAACAGGAUUAGAUACCCGGGUAGUCCCUGUCUCUUAUAC
RNAcentral lists this ribosomal RNA (301 nucleotides) under uncultured bacterium. RNAcentral describes it as "partial 16S ribosomal RNA". It matches the Rfam family "Bacterial small subunit ribosomal RNA", at positions 509 to 807 of the family's 1533-position model. The record is from RNAcentral.